Long non-coding RNA from Camelus dromedarius (Arabian camel), 350 nucleotides. RefSeq lists it as uncharacterized. The record is from RefSeq and is a predicted model, not a curated record. Lineage: Eukaryota; Metazoa; Chordata; Mammalia; Artiodactyla; Camelidae. The transcript has 3 exons.
GUCCCUUAGAUGUUGUUAAUUCUCAGUAUAGUACUUGAAUAAAUUUGGGAUUGAGGAGAAAAGCAUCAGCAGCUGCUCCACGCUUGGAUCCCAAGUUUCUUCUCAAGGACAGUCUGGGACCUGGCAGUCAUCCUUUCGAGUGGCUCGAGUGGAGAAGAAUUUAUAAAAGGACAGACAAGAGUUUCAAGAGCCAUCUUCUGACCAUAAGGAUGAGAGCCACACACUAAGGAUGGUGGAACACAAGGACGCAAGGAACCCGGUCUCCAAUGGUACCUUGGGCGAUCACACAAAGCCCAGACUGCCAACCACUGGAAUUCUCCUUAUUCAAGAAAAAUAAAUAUCUAAUUUGU